GACGAACGCUGGCGGCGUGCUUAACACAUGCAAGUCGAACGGAAAGGCCCUGCUUUUGUGGGGUGCUCGAGUGGCGAACGGGUGAGUAACACGUGAGUAACCUGCCCUUGACUUUGGGAUAACUUCAGGAAACUGGGGCUAAUACCGGAUAGGAGCUCCUGCUGCAUGGUGGGGGUUGGAAAGUUUCGGCGGUUGGGGAUGGACUCGCGGCUUAUCAGCUUGUUGGUGGGGUAGUGGCUUAUCAAGGCUUUGACGGGUAGCCGGCCUGAGAGGGUGACCGGCCACAUUGGGACUGAGAUACGGCCCAGACUCCUACGGGAGGCAGCAGUGGGGAAUAUUGCACAAUGGGCGGAAGCCUGAUGCAGCAACGCCGCGUGCGGGAUGAAGGCCUUCGGGUUGUAAACCGCUUUCGCCUGUGACGAAGCGUGAGUGACGGUAAUGGGUAAAGAAGCACCGGCUAACUACGUG
This 468-nucleotide ribosomal RNA is filed under the name uncultured bacterium. RNAcentral describes it as "partial 16S ribosomal RNA". It matches the Rfam family "Bacterial small subunit ribosomal RNA", at positions 28 to 507 of the family's 1533-position model. The record is from RNAcentral.